CGGAGGACUGAGAAGGUGAGGCAGCUCUGCACUGUGCUGCUUUCUGCCGGUUAAGUCCUCCAAGAGUGAAGGCCUGCCAAGCAGAGACGGGCCCUCUGCUGUCCUCAGAGGGCAGCGCCAUGCAGGCCGACAUCUG
Erinaceus europaeus (western European hedgehog) is the source of this 136-nucleotide small nucleolar RNA. RefSeq annotates it as small nucleolar RNA SNORA47. The transcript has a single exon. NCBI's taxonomy places the organism in Eukaryota, Metazoa, Chordata, Mammalia, Eulipotyphla, Erinaceidae. The record is from RefSeq and is a predicted model, not a curated record.